AUUUAAAUAAUUAUUAAUUUUGAUAUUAUUGUACAGUUUAUUAUAUGUCGUAACUCUAACUUGUUAUAAAAAUUGUUUAAAUUAUAUUUUUAUGUGAAAUGAAAAAUAAAUAAUUUGAAUUUUAAAAUUUUACUAUGUUUUUAAACAUGGGGUUAUCUUUUAUUUUUAAUAUUGAUAUAUUCAUAAUUAUAUGUUAAAAUAAAUUAGGAAAUGACAUAGUUAUCCACAGUCAAUCUAAUAAAUCAAUGACCGAAAAAUAAUUAGAUUCAACAUCUAGACUGUGUUUAAAACAUUAAUUAAAUUUUAGUUCAUUCCCAUUAAUUUGUGUGGUGAAAAUAAUAUAUAUUAAAGUAUAGUA
RNAcentral lists this long non-coding RNA (358 nucleotides) under Brassica napus (rape). RNAcentral's name for it is "long non-coding RNA (BNAP_LNC015411)". The record is from RNAcentral. Lineage: Eukaryota; Viridiplantae; Streptophyta; Magnoliopsida; Brassicales; Brassicaceae.